CCUCAAAGGGCGGCAGGUCUACACAUGCAAGUCGAGCGGCAGCGGGAAGAUAGCUUGCUAUCUUUGCCGGCGAGCGGCGGACGGGUGAGUAAUGCCUAGGGAUCUGCCCAGUCGAGGGGGAUAACAGUUGGAAACGACUGCUAAUACCGCAUACGCCCUACGGGGGAAAGGAGGGGACCUUCGGGCCUUCCGCGAUUGGAUGAACCUAGGUGGGAUUAGCUAGUUGGUGAGGUAAUGGCUCACCAAGGCGACGAUCCCUAGCUGUUCUGAGAGGAUGAUCAGCCACACUGGGACUGAGACACGGCCCAGACUCCUACGGGAGGCAGCAGUGGGGAAUAUUGCACAAUGGGGGAAACCCUGAUGCAGCCAUGCCGCGUGUGUGAAGAAGGCCUUCGGGUUGUAAAGCACUUUCAGUAGGGAGGAAAGGUAGCAGCUUAAUACGCUGUUGCUGUGACGUUACCUACAGAAGAAGGACCGGCUAACUCCGUGCCAGCAGCCGCGGUAAUACGGAGGGUCCGAGCGUUAAUCGGAAUUACUGGGCGUAAAGCGUGCGCAGGCGGUUUGUUAAGCGAGAUGUGAAAGCCCCGGGCUCAACCUGGGAAUUGCAUUUCGAACUGGCGAACUAGAGUCUUGUAGAGGGGGGUAGAAUUCCAGGUGUAGCGGUGAAAUGCGUAGAGAUCUGGAGGAAUACCGGUGGCGAAGGCGGCCCCCUGGACAAAGACUGACGCUCAGGCACGAAAGCGUGGAAGCACACAGGAUUAGAUACCCUGGUAGUCCACGCCGUAAACGAUGUCUACUCGGAGUUUGGUGUCUUGAACACUGGGCUCUCAAGCUAACCCUUUAAGUACACCGCCUGGGGAGUACGGCCGCUAGGUUAAAACUCAAAUGAAUUGACGGGGGCCCGCACAAUCUGUGGACCAUGUG
This 924-nucleotide ribosomal RNA is filed under the name Shewanella sp. 4-3(2011). RNAcentral's name for it is "bacterial SSU rRNA". It matches the Rfam family "Bacterial small subunit ribosomal RNA", at positions 28 to 943 of the family's 1533-position model. The record is from RNAcentral. Lineage: Bacteria; Pseudomonadati; Pseudomonadota; Gammaproteobacteria; Alteromonadales; Shewanellaceae.